RNAcentral lists this ribosomal RNA (513 nucleotides) under uncultured bacterium. RNAcentral's name for it is "partial 16S ribosomal RNA". It matches the Rfam family "Bacterial small subunit ribosomal RNA", at positions 28 to 523 of the family's 1533-position model. The record is from RNAcentral.
GACGAACGCUGGCGGCAUGCCUAAUACAUGCAAGUCGAGCGAACAGAUGAAGUGCUUGCACUUCUGACGUUAGCGGCGAACGGGUGAGUAACACGUAAGGAAUCUACCUAUAAGCGGGGGAUAACAUUCGGAAACGGGUGCUAAUACCGCAUAAUAUCUUCUUCCGCAUGGAAGAAGAUUGAAAGACGGCUCUGCUGUCACUUAUAGAUGACCUUGCGGUGCAUUAGUUAGUUGGUGGGGUAAUGGCCUACCAAGACGAUGAUGCAUAGCCGACCUGAGAGGGUGAUCGGCCACAUUGGGACUGAGACACGGCCCAAACUCCUACGGGAGGCAGCAGUAGGGAAUCUUCCGCAAUGGGCGAAAGCCUGACGGAGCAAUGCCGCGUGAGUGAAGAAGGCCUUCGGGUCGUAAAACUCUGUUAUAAGAGAAGAACAAAUUGUAGAGUAACUGCUACAGUCUUGACGGUAUCUUAUCAGAAAGCCACGGCUAACUACGUGCCAGCCGCCGCCGUAA